GCCCAAGCAGCUUUUAACUACAUAUUUGUUUCCCUCCGAAAAGAAGGAAUUUGCUCCUAGCAAACAUUAACUGGUUUAACAUCGCGAGCGUGGCUAUGCAUACAAUCAGAUGGAUAGUGUCGUCUAUCCAGAAUAUAGCAGGUGUAUGGCAAUCAAAUGAAACAUGUGUCCUUAUCCAUGUUGUAAAGAAGUAGAAUAUAUUGUGGACACUGUUAAUUAACAGAGAUAACAAAGCAAAUUGCUACUGUAUUUCCAUACUCUGUAAAAUUGAAACCGAAGCAUAAAAACUAAAAACUUAGGUAGAUAAUUAGAAGUAGGAUGGCCUUACCGAUCAGGCAUUUGAGCAGUAUGACAGCAAAAUGAACCAUACAAUUAUUUAUAACAACAAAACCCAUAUUACUAAUGAUGAAGGAAGAAAAAAAAAUAUUAUGUAUAACAUGGCCUUUACAUUUAUCUAGUAAAUGAAGCGCUUCAACCGGGAGCUUUUAGGAGCCGGGAAACAGAUGCCGCAGUUCGACGUGAAUUGUUGAUAUAUUAUUCAGAAACCAAAAGGAAUAUAUGAGUGACAUAUAAUCAGAUGAGCCGAUUUAAAGAUGAAUAUGAAAAAUACACAUUUGACCAUAUAACUUGAUCCGUACUUAUCCGAGGCUGUAAUGAUGAAGUUCGUCCUGCCCUUAGUAACCAGGUUCCCAGAUCGAUGGGAUCGAGGAACGGGAACGUGGUACGCUUCCCAGAUCGAUGGGAUCGAGGAACGAGAACGUGGUACGCGGUACGCUACAAAAUCUAGGAUUUAACACUACUGGAACGAGAUUGUUCCCACAUUCCCGGAACGGAACGAACGUUCCCGGAACGAGGAACGUGGCCAAGUUCCUGGUUCCCGGUUACUAAGCCUGCCAAUUCACCGCACGGAAGGUUUUGGAUAUUGUGAACCAAUCACGAUGUAGUUCAAGUGGAUGCGAGAGCUAUAAAAUUACAAUUAAUACGUCUUGUUAGACAUGCACAACAGUUAAUGUACGCAUGAAAAUAUAUAAGUUAGUUGAUGUAGUCAUCACCAACGAAGUCUAAAUAUCCUGUAGUAGCGUAUAUGUUUUAAGGACAACAUGUAAUGCAUGGUGGUAUGACAAAACAAAUGUCGGGACAUUUUGUCGAACAACCUAGGUGCACGGCUGACAACAGAUCUACUUUGAUGUCCUAGACGAGCAAAAAAAAUAUUGUUGGCACAUUUCAUCGAACAACCUGAGUGUGCGGAGUGCUUACCAUUUACACAGCAGGCAUACGAGACAAGAUGGUGAACGUAAGUUUUGAGAGUCGCAAACCAACGUGUGGCGGGCGAGCACAUGUGAACUAGAAACGAAAGCAGUGGCCACGUCUGCACGACAACGACGUCAGCGGAGCCACGACAUCAGCGGAGCCACGAUAGAGUAGAAGAACGAGCGAACAAAUUACAUGCGAGGCGAGGCAACGGGAACGAACCUGGCGCGAUCGGAGAUGCUGUUGAUGACCGCGGGAUGGGUUGCGUCUUGGCCGGGACAAAACCCUUGUCGCCCUAUCCAGAUUCCUCGUUGGUGAGUGGAGCUGAGUCUCGAGUCCGACGUCGCUUCCAGAAAGACCGAGAGAGGAGGCUCGCUGCUGAUAUCAGAGAGGUUGGU
This 1649-nucleotide long non-coding RNA is filed under the name Zea mays. RNAcentral's name for it is "long non-coding RNA (ZMAY_LNC005177)". The record is from RNAcentral. Lineage: Eukaryota; Viridiplantae; Streptophyta; Magnoliopsida; Poales; Poaceae.